AGUAACUUGGCUAGCCAAAAGGAUGUGAUUGAAGUUUCCUUGAAUCUUACAACUGUAGCUGUCGAACACAACUACUUCACCGUAAAGAAGAUCGUAGCUACAUGGAAACUCACCAAGAGGGAAAAGACUGCUCUCCAUGAUUGUUUGGAGACUAUAGAUGAGACUCUUGAUGAGCUACACAAGGCCUUGGACGAUCUGAAGGAAUAUCCCAACAAGAAAUCUCUGUCUCAACACGCAGAUGAUCUCAAGACUCUAAUGAGUGCUGCAAUUACCAACCAAGAAACAUGCUUGGAAGGAUUCUAUUAUGAGGAAGCCGAUAAGCGUGUGAGAGAAGCUCUGAUGGCUGGUCAAGUUCACGUUGAGCGUAUGUGCAGUAAUGCCCUGGCAAUGAUCAAGAACAUGACAGACACAGACAUUGCCAAUGAGCUUAAGUCAGCCGCUAGAACAAACAGGAAACUCAAGGAGGAGAAAGAUCAUGAAAGUGGGUGGCCGGGGUGGUUGCCGGCAGCAGACAGGAGGCUGUUGCAGUCCUCAUCAGUGACUCCAGACGUGGUGGUGGCAGCUGAUGGAAGUGGGGACUAUAAGACGGUAUCAGAAGCAGUAGCUGCUGCUCCUAAGAAAAGCAGCAAGAGGUACAUUAUUAGAAUAAAAGCAGGUGUUUACAGGGAAAAUGUGGAAGUGCCCAAGAGCAAGACAAACAUAAUGUUUUUGGGAGACGGAAGAAAAACAACGAUUAUUACAGCAAGUAGGAAUGUAGUUGAUGGAAGCACAAC
Molecule: unclassified non-coding RNA, 773 nt
Filed under: Hevea brasiliensis (rubber tree)
Lineage: Eukaryota; Viridiplantae; Streptophyta; Magnoliopsida; Malpighiales; Euphorbiaceae
Source: RNAcentral